Lepidothrix coronata (blue-crowned manakin) is the source of this 411-nucleotide long non-coding RNA. RefSeq lists it as uncharacterized. Lineage: Eukaryota; Metazoa; Chordata; Aves; Passeriformes; Pipridae. The transcript is spliced from 3 exons. The record is from RefSeq and is a predicted model, not a curated record.
UGCGGCCCCGCGCUGUUGGCGCGGCCAAGGGCGGAGUGUCGCUGCCGCCGGCUGAAUCCCGGGAGGGGCCGCGCUCCGCUCCCUCUGCUCGGCUCUGCUUCCGGGAAAAGGGAGCGCGGAGGCCGGCGGGGACAAGCCAUUCUGCUGACUUCUCCCAGCCCAGCUGUUUAAAACACAGCGUGCACACGUCGGAGUAAGCUGAAGGUACAGCUGAAGAUCUGUAGACUUAGAGAAGGUUGAAACCAUGGCAAGCCUGUGUGCAGCAAAUACCACUUUUGCCCUGGACCUCUUAAGAAAGCUGUGUGAGAAGAAAAGUGGUCAGAAUCUAUUCUUUUCCCCUUUUAGUAUUUCUUCUGCUUUGUCUAUGGUUUUGCUGGGUUCCAAAGGUAACACCGAAGCCCAGAUAACAAA